This 76-nucleotide transfer RNA is filed under the name Verrucomicrobiota bacterium. RNAcentral describes it as "Verrucomicrobia bacterium (gut metagenome) tRNA-Thr". It matches the Rfam family "tRNA". From Rfam's summary of the family: Transfer RNA (tRNA) molecules are approximately 80 nucleotides in length. Lineage: Bacteria; Pseudomonadati; Verrucomicrobiota. The record is from RNAcentral.
GCCACUUUAGCUCAGUUGGUAGAGCACUUCCUUGGUAAGGAAGAGGUCGGCGGUCCGAUUCCGCUAGGUGGCUCCA